RNAcentral lists this ribosomal RNA (540 nucleotides) under Triticum aestivum (bread wheat). RNAcentral describes it as "partial small subunit ribosomal RNA". Lineage: Eukaryota; Viridiplantae; Streptophyta; Magnoliopsida; Poales; Poaceae. The record is from RNAcentral.
AUGGCCCGUUGCAUUUGGAUGAAAGGCUCCAGCUAUGGUUACGACUUGACAAAUCUGCAACAUCUGCACCUUCAUUCAUGCCCAAGCCUCGAGUACGCGCUUCCAGUAUGCACAGUCGACAACUCUUUCCCCAGCUUGAAGACCCUCUACAUCAUCCGCUGCGGCGACCUCAUGCACGUAUUUAUGCAAAGCAACCAGGAGGAUCCUCCAAGCAGCGUCAAGUUCCCAAAGCUGACCACGAUCCACCUGUACGACCUGCCGUCGCUGCAGCAGAUAUGCGAGGACGCCGAGACACUGGCGCCCGCACUGGAGAACACCAGGAUCAGGGGAUGCUGGAGCUUGCGUCGGCUGCCAGCCUUGAAGGGCCGCGAGCCGGACACGAGGAGGCCCACAGUGGAGAUAGAGAAGGACGUGUGGGACGCUCUGGAGUGGGGCGGGGUGGAAUCGGGGCACCACCCUUCCCUCUACGAGGCGCCCGUGCAGUCGCGGUACUACAAGAGGUCCAUGCCCAGGGGCACAGUUCUCAGGUAUACUUUCUAA